Molecule: non-coding RNA, 21 nt
Filed under: Arabidopsis thaliana (thale cress)
Lineage: Eukaryota; Viridiplantae; Streptophyta; Magnoliopsida; Brassicales; Brassicaceae
Source: RNAcentral
CAAACUUGGAAUGGCGUUUGC